GCCUGGGUGGCUCAGUCGGUUAAGCAUCUGACUUUGGCUCAGGUCAUGAUCUCACGGUUCGUGAGUUCGAGCCCCGCAUCGGGCU
RNAcentral lists this transfer RNA (85 nucleotides) under Felis catus (domestic cat). It matches the Rfam family "tRNA". From Rfam's summary of the family: Transfer RNA (tRNA) molecules are approximately 80 nucleotides in length. The record is from Rfam by way of RNAcentral. RNAcentral also lists the same sequence under 2 other names. Lineage: Eukaryota; Metazoa; Chordata; Mammalia; Carnivora; Felidae.